GCCGGAGCAGCGGCACACGCCAUUGAGGUGCUGAGGAGCUGCCCCAUGCCCAAGGAGAGGACGACGGUGAUGCCCACCCUACAACUCAUCGCCUUCAUCCUCUGCCUCACCACCUGCGUCCUGUGGGGUCAAGGUAGGGACAUCUCCCAUGCUGGUGUUGGGCUGGGCAUUUCUGGGGCUGGGGCCAUUCUGGGCUCCCUGGGCUGGAGCCGAGGAGCAGGGUGCCAUAUGCUGAGGCUCAGCUACUGAAACAGCUUCAUCAGAGCAGAGAGUGAUGGAGAAUGACAUGGAAGAGUUGCUGCAGCAGGGCUGUGGCAGCAGCCCCCGCGCCAGGGAGAGGUGAGCACCAGCUCCCG
RNAcentral lists this long non-coding RNA (356 nucleotides) under Calidris pugnax (ruff). RNAcentral's name for it is "lncRNA (ENSCPUG00000010450.1)". The record is from RNAcentral. Lineage: Eukaryota; Metazoa; Chordata; Aves; Charadriiformes; Scolopacidae.